Molecule: small RNA, 91 nt
Filed under: Salmonella enterica subsp. enterica serovar Senftenberg
Lineage: Bacteria; Pseudomonadati; Pseudomonadota; Gammaproteobacteria; Enterobacterales; Enterobacteriaceae
Also listed under: 3 other names
Description: partial RtT sRNA
Rfam family: RtT RNA
About the family: This family represents a bacterial cis-regulatory element known as RtT RNA. The exact function of RtT is unknown although it is thought that it may be involved in changing the cellular response in relation to amino acid starvation.
Source: RNAcentral
UUCGAUUCGAGCGAAAGCGAGAAAGCGUUGCCGCAGGCAACGACCCGAAGGGCGAAGCGCGCAGCGCUGAGUCAUCCUUCCCCCACCACCA